This 13033-nucleotide long non-coding RNA is filed under the name Triticum aestivum (bread wheat). RNAcentral describes it as "long non-coding RNA (TAES_LNC014199)". The record is from RNAcentral. Lineage: Eukaryota; Viridiplantae; Streptophyta; Magnoliopsida; Poales; Poaceae.
CACCCCUAGUUGGUUUUGGAGUAUUGACGACAAACCUAGUUGAGGGACUAAUGUGUUUGUGAGAAUUGCAGGAUAACACAGGUAGAAGUCCCUCAUUGAUUCGGUUUUAUUACCAGAGAUGACCCCUAAAAAUGUACGAAGACAUUGAAGUCAAUGGUGGUAUAUGAAGAUAUUCAUUUUGAAGACUAUGACAAGAGAAGACACCGCAUGAAGCCUAUGGAGCUCGAAGACUUAGAUCUUUCGUAGUUCUCUUUCAUUUGUGUUGAGUCAUAGGAACCACCGUACUGUUAAGUGGGGUCCAAGAGAAACAGUCAGAACGACUGAAGUGAUGCCUAAACAAAAAACCUAUGUCUUCGAGUGAAGACUAUGAGAGCAAAUCUUGUCCAGAGUCGGACAAGUCAGCUUUGCUUGUAGCCCAAGUAAAGUUGCCGUGUGAGUUUGAAAUCUGACCGUUGGAACACGUGUCAGUUCCUUAGUGACCCAGGGUCAUUUCGGACAAAUCAGGUCGGAUUGCCUAGUGGCUAUAAAUAGCCCACCCCCUACAACCAUAAACGGUUGGCUGCUCAGAUUUCAGUGCACGGUUUUUGUCGUUUGAGAGCAACCCACCUCAAAGCCUUUGAGAGAGAAUACCUAGCGAGGAAAAAGCCCUAACCACCCAGAGCCAGAGCAAAUUGGGCAUCACUUAAGUCUUCUUAUCUGAGUGAUCUGAAGACUUAUUACACUUGAGGACUGUGCAUCCUCCAGCCGGUUAGGCGUCGCGUUCUGAGCAUCCAAGAGUCAUUGUGGAUUGCCGGUGAACGAAGUCUGUGAAGGUUUGGGAGUCUACCUUGAAGACUUACCAGAGUGAUUGGGCGAGGUAUGUGUGACCUUAGCUCAAGGAGAAUACAGUGAGGACUGGGUGUCCUGAGCUGCGGUUCAGGACUGGGUGUCCGGGACUGUGUGUCCCAAUGUUUAAAUACCUAGCCGCUCCAACCAGACGUACAGUUGUCACAGCAACUGGAACUGGUCCAACAAAUCAUUGUCUUCAAUGAGUCACUGGUUUCAUCUUCACUUCCCUUUACAUAUUGUUACUCGUUGUGAAGUCAUUGCAUGUUUGAUGUAUCCUUAGUCUUCACUGAGUGACUGUGUGUUCUGUUUGGCUUCAUAAUAUCUUCCUACCUGAUCCGUAUUACACUGCAGUUAUUCGUCACUGUGUUUUCACUCUGUUGAUACUUGACCAUGGCUUGCCUAGCGUAGUCAUAACUUCCACGUUUUGAAGACUUUCAUAAAAAUUGCCUAUUCACCCCCCCUCUAGUCGAUAUAACGCACUUUUAAUUGGUAUCAGAGCAAGGUGCUCCCUUGUUCUAUGUGAUUCGGUUUAACCACCUGGAGUUUUAGUUAUGUCGACUACAGGGAUAAUCAAAGUCUCCGCUGCGUGCCCCGUCUUUGAUGGAACUGAAUAUCCCUACUGGAAGAAUAAGAUGCGCAUGCAUCUUGAAGCCAUUGACGUCGAUCUAUGGUAUGUCGUCGAGAACGGUGUUCCCAAGGCUAGAGAAGGUGUCACUGCUGCUGAUGUCAAGAAGUUCACUCAACUGGACUCUACUGCCAAGAAUAUCAUAUGUGGUCAUCUAACCAAAGGACAGUAUGGCCGUGUGAGUGCUUUGAAGACAUCCAAGCUGGUCUGGGACUGGCUCUCCAAGGUCAAUGAAGGCAUCUCAACCCAGAGAGAUCAGAGAAUCAGUGUUCUUCGCAACCUCUUCAACCGCUUCAAGCGAAAUGACAAUGAGAAUGUCCAGCACACAUUUGACCGACUUACUGACAUCACAAAUGAGCUUCAAGCCCUCGGCGCCACUGAGAUCACCAAACAUGAAAUCGUCAAGACGCUGCUGAGAUCACUUGAUAGUUCGUUUGACAUCCUAGCCCUGAUGAUUCAAGAACGUCCUGAUUUCAAGACACUCGAUCCGUCUGACAUACUCGAGAGACUCAACACACAUGAGUUUCAGCUUUCUGAGAAAAGAGAUAUCUACGGUCCAAACUACGGGCGAACUCGUGCCCUGAAGGCAAAAGAUGUUUCCUCAUCUGAAGAAGAAUCUGACAGCAGUUUUGAUGAUCCUGAAGACAUUGGAAGGGAACUUGCAAUGCUUGUGAAGAAGUUCCAAAGAUUCACCAAGAAGAAAGGCUUUAGAAAGUCUUCAUGAUCAAGCUCAAGGAAUGAUGAAGCUUCUGCUCAUGACUACAAGAAGAAAACAUGCCACAAGUGCAAGAAAACUGGACACUUCAUCUCUGAGUGUCCACAGUGGGACAAUGAGAACAGAAAGAAGAAGAAGAGCAAGGAAUAUGACUCUGACGACAAGAAGAAGAAGAAAUACUCAAAGUCUUCUUCCAAGUCUUCCUCAAAGUCUUCAUCACACAAGAAGAGCUCAUCGGGCAAGGCACGUGCGUUUGUUGGCAAGGAAAUGGAUUCAGAGGAGGAGUCCACUUCUGAGGAGGCAGAGGUGGAGUCUAAGGAGGAGUCUGAUUCUAGCAUUGCAAGUAUGGCUACAGCAUACGUUGCCAAGUCCAUCUUCAACACUGAAGACAAUGACUCCAUCACCGACACCGAUGCAAAUGACAAGGACUGCUCCGAUCCUACCUACUGCUUCAUGGCACGCGGUGCCAAGGGAAACACACGCACUACUCACUAUCAAACAUCUAGUGACGAUGACUCUGAUUGUGAUUCAAAACCCAGCUACAAAACACUUGCUAAAAUUGCAACUGAACAACAGAAAGCCAUGGAACAUAUUCAAAAACUGUUAGACAGAAGCAAUGAUCUGUUGGGUGCUGAAAUGACUCGAUCUGAAUCCUUAAUUGAAGACAUAAAAAAUCUUCACGUUAAGUAUCAGGAACUUGAAGAUCGUCAUGAUACUCUCUCAACAACUCAUGAAAAGCUUUCCUAUGAUUAUCUUCAAAGGAAGCAAGAUCUUGAGAAAUUGAUAGCGGCUCAUGAAGAUCUUCAAAAGGAAAAAGAGUCACUUCGCACCGAACAGAUCAGUUCCGCUCAGGAAGGAUUUGAACCACCAUGUCUUAAAUGCAUUGAGCGUGAUAAUGUUGCUUCUGUUGCUGAAUGUUCUACUGCUACUGCUAUUGCAAUAUCUUUACCUGUUGAUGUGUUAACUAACCCCUCUGCUGAGGAUACCACUGCUAUUGCUGAUGAGAAUGCUAGGUUGAAGACAUUGCUUGAAACAGGGGUGUACAAAAGUCUUAAAGGGCAUCAGACAUUAUGUGAUGUCCUCAAGAAGCAGAUUCUGAACCGAAACCCUAGGAAAGAGGGUGUUGGGUUCGUAAGGAAAAUGAAUGCAGAUGGCUCUUACUGGAAACCUGAGCAGUACCCCAAAACCAAGUGGGUUGCUGCAAAGGAACCUAUAGCAGAUCCAUCCAAUUUAUCUGGAUUCACUUGUGCUAACCCCAUUAUCAUUGAUGAAUCCUUUGAUGCAAACUAUGUACUGUUUAAGAAUCAGAAUGGUGAAGUGCUUGCCAGGUACAUUGGUACUAACUGCGGGAAUGUACCGCCUAUGAAGAAGAUCUGGGUUCCGAAAAAGUGUCUGGAAAAUCUUCCUGUGAAUGUCUUCAUGACUCCUCACAUGAAGAAGACAAACCUCAUACCAAAGGCUACAUACGGUCCAAAGUCUUCAUACAGACAGAGGACUCACCUGAGUUGCACUAAUGCAAAUGUUUUGCAGGGAAACCACACUCAGGCAUAUGAAUAUGAGAGCGGUUCAUCAAACCGCCAUGUUCAUAUGACCAAGAACUAUUCUGCCUAUUCAUAUGAGUACUAUUGUCCGCCUGCUAGACUGUUUGCUAGGGCUCCAAAGCCAAAAUUCUCAGAUGUUGCACUUAGACUUAUUGCUUCUAAGCCGCCCUUGAAGAUGUGGGUGGCUAAGAAAGCUUGACUCUCUUUUGCAGGGAAAGGUCUCCAGCAAAAAACCAAAAUCUUCUGACGCUAUUGUUGGGGACCUUAAACAUCUUGUAGGGCGCAAGAUCAAAUGCCCGAAUGGCAUCACUAUGUACUUCGUUCCUGAAUCACAUACUACUCUCCCUAUUAGUCCUAAUCUGGAUCUAAGUUUUCAUAACCCACUGGUUCGUCAAAUGUUUUUGCUUCACAAUUCUCUUCGUGAAGCCUAUCCCCCUAACUGCACUGUAGGGUACGACACCAGCGUCUUCAGAAUGGAUUAUUGACAGUGGGUGUACAAAUCACAUGACCGGAAAAAGAAGCCUUCUUAUGGACUCAACCUUACGUCCAUCCGACAAAAGUCACAUCACAUUCGCUGACACUGGUAAAAGUAAGGUAUUGGGUCUAGGUAGAGUUAGAAUCUCAAAGGAUCAACACAUGGAUAAAGUCAUGCUUGUUGAAUCCCUUGGCUUCAACUUAAUGUCUGUCUCAAUGCUUUGCGAUUUGAACAUGAUUGUAAUAUUUGGAAAAUAUCGUUGCCUGGUACUAAUGGAAUCUGACAAGUCUCUAGUGUUUGAAGGGUAUCAGAAAGAUGAUUUGUACGUGGUAGAUUUCUCAGCAGGGCCACAGCUUGCAGUAUGUCUUCUGGCAAAAGCUUCAGAAUGCUGGCUUUGGCAUCGGAGGCUUGGGCAUGCUGGCAUGAGGAACCUCCACACCCUUGCAAAGAAGAAGCAUGUCAUAGGCAUCGAGGGCGUCAAGUUCAAGAAAGAUCACUUAUUGUGAUGGCCAGAACGAUGCUAGAUGAAUACAAGACUCCAAGAAAAUUCUGGCCUGAAGCCAUUGACAAUGCAUGUCAUACAAUCAAUCGUGUUUAUCUUCACAAGCUUCUGAACAAGACAUCUUAUGAACUCCUAACUGGCAAGAAGCCAAAUGUCAGUUGCUUCAGAGUAUUUGGCGCAAGGUGCUGGAUCAAGGACCCACACCAUACCUCAAAGUUUGCACCAAAAGCACAUGAGGGUUUUAUGCUUGGAUAUGGAAAGGAUUCACACUCCUACAGAGUCUUCAAUCUCUUUCAUUACAAAGUGGUUGAAACAGUGGAUGUGCGGUUCGAUGAGACAAAUGGUUCAUAAAGAGAGCAACUGCCAGAUGUGCUAGAUGAUGUUCCAGCUAGUGAAUCAAUCAAGCUAAUGGGAACUGGAGAGAUUAUACCUUCUGAAGCUCAUCCUGAAGAAGAACUUAUCAUCUCAGCACCUGAUCCACAUGAAGACAAUGCUCAGCCUGAAGACAUUCCUCCCAACAACAACUCAGAUUAGCAAGAGCAAAGUCUUCGCCCUGUACAUCCUCGUGUUGCCAAUGAAGUGCAGAUUGACAGAAUAAUUGACAGCAUCAAUGCACCUGGUCCACUCACUCGUUCAAGGGCAACUCAACUGGCAAAUUUCUGUGGGCACUUCGCAUUCGUCUCAAUUACAGAACCCAAGAAAGUUGAAGAAGCCUUCAUGGAACCUGAAUGGAUUCAAGCUAUGCAAGAAGAGCUUGAACAGUUUGAGCUGAACAAUGUAUGGGAACUGGUUAAGCGACCUGAUCCACGGAAGCACAAUAUAAUAGGCACCAAAUGGAUAUACCACAACAAGCAAGAUGAGCAUGGUCAAAUUGUCAGGAACAAAGCUUGUCUCGUUGCUCAAGGAUAUACUCAAGUGGAAGGCAUUGAUUUCGAUGAAACAUUUGCUCCUGUGGCCAGACUUGAAGCCAUACGUAUACUGCUGGCCUAUGCAAAUCAUCAUAACAUACUGCUAUAUCAAAUGGAUGUGAAGAGUGCCUUUCUCAAUGGCAAGAUUGAAGAAGAAGUGUAUGUUGCACAACCGCCUGGGUUUGACGAUCCAAAACAUCCUGACAUGGUAUACAAGCUCAACAAGGCACUGUAUGGCCUCAAACAAGCCCCUCGGGCCUGGUAUGACACACUCAAAUACUUCCUGAAGAGCAAAGGCUUCAUACCUGGUUCCCUAGAUCCCACUCUCUUCACGAAGACAUAUGAUGGUGAACUGUUUGUGUGCCAAAUAUAUGUGGAUGACAUUAUCUUCGACUGCACCAAUCAAAAGUACAGUGAAGAGUUUGGCUAUAUGAUGCAAGAGCAAUAUCAGAUGUCUAUGAUGGGGGAGCUGAAGUUCUUCCUCGGUCUUCAAAUAUGACAACAACGCAACGGCAUCUUCAUAUCUCAAGAGAAGUAUCUCAAAGAGUGCCUGAAGAAGUUUGGUAUGCAAGACUGCAAAGGCUUCACAACACCAAUGCCAGCCAAACAUCAUCUGGGUCCCGACGACAAUGGUAAAGAGUUCGAUCAAAAGGUAUACCGCUCCAUGAUUGGUUCUUUGCUUUAUUUAUGUGCAUCUAGGCCAGAUAUUAUGCUUAGUGUUUGCAUGUGUGCUCGAUUUCAAGCGGCACCAAAGGAGUCGCAUCACUUAGCUGUGAAGCGAAUUCUUCGAUAUUUGGCUCACACCCCAACUCUCGGAUUAUGGUAUCCAAAGGGCUCAGAGUUUGAUCUGGUUGGAUUCUCGGAUGCUGAUUAUGCUGGUGACAAGGUUGAUCGGAAGUCUACAUCAGGCACAUGCCACUUUCUGUUACAAUCACUUGUGUGUUGGUCUUCAAAGAAGCAGAACUGUGUAUCCCUCUCCACUGCUGAAUCUGAAUACAUUGCUGCUGGAUCUUGCUGCGCUCAGCUUCUAUGGAUGAAGCAAACUCUCAAGGACUAUGGCGUUCAUCUGAAGCAAGUGCCACUUUACUGCGACAACAAAAGCGCCAUAAAGAUUGCCAAUAACCCAGUUCAGCACUCGAAGACAAAGCACAUAGAAAUUCGUCAUCACUUUCUCAGAGAACAUGUCGUGAAGGAAGAUAUUGAUAUCAUACACGUCAACACUGAAGAGCAAUUGGCAGGUAUCUUCACCAAGCCCUUGGAUGAGAAGAGAUUUUGCAAGUUACGGUGUGAGCUAAAUAUCCUGGAAUCCUCAAAUGUCCUGUGAUCAGGCACACAUCCUAACACUUAUGCAUAUUGAUGACUUAGAUGUGCAACACACAAAGUAACGUAUAUCUUCAAUCAAUGAAGACUUACAUUCUAAGUGUGAAUACAUUAAUGUGGAAUUUGACUUUGGAGCGCCACGAUAAUUGUGCGCCGUGUCUGAGUCUAAUACUUUCUAUACGGUGGGUAACGCCACCACCAAACGUUCUAUUUUGAAGUGUUUCACUCACGGCGUUACCUUGCAAUGUCUUCACAUUUGGUUUGGCUUCAAUCUCAACAUGUCUUCAUGAUUAUCUUCACUAUGUUGAUUAUAUGGAUAUAUAUAUAUAUAUACUAGUGUUCUGUCCUCUACAACAUUCACUUAUAGUUGUGUCUUCUUAUUUGAAUCUUUUGAACUAAGUGAAUGUGAUCGGACCCUAACCUCUCUAUGCUCUCUAUCUCAAAUUCUAUCUCUCCAAGUCAUAUGCAUUCUAUUGAAACUGUCGAAUGUCUUCUCUGCGUCCUUGACAGGAGAAGACACAGAGACAACCUUUAAGUCCGUUUUCAAUGCUCAUUUAUCCAUAUGAAAUCCGGAGAAGUAGGAACGACCACCCGACAAUCCAGGCGUGCGUGGGACGUGGAACUGCCCCCAAAAUUUCGCAUGAUGGCCACGUGUUACUCAGAUGCGAAUCGCCAGGGGCACCUGUGUAAUAGCGCAGUGCCGCCCCUAUAACUAUAAAUACACACUCACUGCGGUCAUUAUCCCUUCUUCCACCCUCGCACGAACCCUAGCGCCAUCGCUAGACCUCGACGACGCCGGCGACGAAGCGCUUCGCUGCCGCAACCUCUCCGACACCGUCUUCACGCCGAUCGCGGACAUCGUCCUCUCCGCCGUCGCCGUAGGUGUCCUCCGUCGCCAAGUUAGGGCACGAAAGAUUGAACUGCUCGGCCUCAUCUUCCUCUCCGUCUAGCAGUUCCCAGUGUGGUAAAUAAAACUUCUUUUUACAUCACCUUUUGAUCCUAUGGCUUUGUCACCUUCUACCAUAAGAAGUUUCUAUUCACACAAGUUAGAUCUCUCUCAUACUGCAUCUCAUAACAUGCCUAGUAUAUUCACCUAUGCUUCACAAAGUAGUUAGAUUCCUCAUUUGUACUGAUCUAUGGGUUCGUACAAAUCUGGAACCAACUUCUUAUCUAUGAGUUAAUGUCUUCGCACGAUGAGGUCAAUGUCUUCUAAAUUGAUUUAUCUUCAAAAUCUUCUGAGAAUGCAUAUGACCUCUUCCCCUUCCCUCGCACCUUAAUGCUGUCAUAGGUACAUGUCCGUGGGAGAAUCCUUUGGUUCUCAUAGUCUGCAUUCAUUUGCAGAGUUCUUACAGCAUCACAUAAAUUCUCCUGAAGCUAGUUCCUGUUGGUCCAGCAAGAGAAAGCCUUUGAAGCCUUUGAACGUCUUGAAGCCCUUCAAGUUAAAGUUUAUGGCUUCAGAGAUAGCAGCAAGGAAGGGGGGCAGACAGCGUCAUGGCGGAACAUCCAGAGAUCUGCCAGAUGAACUCGCAGAAAUGUAUAAAACAGAUCCUGAAGAGAAUUACAGUCAGCGUAAGACCCAAAUCCAAUGGAUUUGACACUAUUGGGCAGAACAAUGGUUCCAAUACCGCUUCGUAACCCAGGAGUAUGCUGAGAAAAACGCCAUCAAGAGACCGUGGGGAGACAUCCUAUACAAGAAUUUUCUACCCAGGUCCAGAGAUGAAGCUAUUGCUCAAAGCUUCUAUCCAUGCAUGGUCCGUGGACCACAGCCUGCAAAUGCACAUCCGUCGUCACUACUCUGGUGUCAUGAUGACAAUCUAUUCAAGCGCAACUUUCAGUUUUCCCAAAACUCAGCGAAGCAGAACAAGAAGAAAUUUGGGUUAGACUUCAACCCUGGUCCCUCCGCACCAAGGGCAAAUGGCACACGCGAGGCAGACCCCAAUGUCAUCGGUCCUUAUGCAAACCUUGAAGGCCUCAUCACCCGCAUCUUAGUUCAAGGGACUGCAGUAAAUGAGCCUCCAGCUCACUCUGAAUCAGAAGAAGCGCCUGUAGUGCCGAAGCCAAAGCAGAUGAAGAAGCCAAAAGCUUCAAAGCCGGCAGCCCCUUCACCAAAAAUCUCAAGGGCGAAGCCAUUGGCAACUGCACCUCCUGAAGUCAGUGUGUAGUCUGAAGACGUAUCCCGCAUCUCCAAGCCCCAGAAGAGCAAGAUGCCUCAGCCACACAGCGGUCAAGAGCUCACAGCUGCUGCUAUUCUGCGCAACGACGCCAUUGAUCUGUCAAGUGAUGAAGACCUUGCAGAUGACGCUCUUGAGCAACUCAUCAAGAGCAAAGAAGAAGCAGAAAUCUUCAAUAAUCUACCUCUCUUUGAUGUCGCCAUCAUCCACGACUUCAUUGACGAGUGGUUUGACACACCAAACAUCAGCUUUGAUGAUUUGCAGCUACCCAUUGGCCUCAGUGUUGCCUUCCAAGGAGCCAUUGCUUCAGAACUAGCCAUCGCCCAGCGCGUUGUUGAGCUGAAGCAGAAGAUUGACUAUGAAAAGACUCUGUUCAAGAAGCAUAUGGCUAAGCUCAGCGUGCAAGAAGUGAAGAACUUCAAGAUCAUGAUGCACGAGCUCAAGGAAAACUUCCUGAAGAAAUGCGCCUAAGCUCAAGGUUCACGCGAGCGCAUGAAGACUCUGGCUGACAGAUGUGUGCAAGCCUAUAAUGAGGCUGAGAAGCGCAAGGCACUUGGGCGUCCUGGCAUCGACCCCAGGAUGGCCGCGAAGAAGAAGAAGAAGCCUACUACGGCUGAACCCGAUGCACCAAGGCAGGAAGCAGCUCCGAUUGUCUUCCCAACUGCAAUGACUGGCUCGAAGCCAAAGAGCCGGUCAACCGCUUCAAAACUCAAGAAGACCAGGACUGCUGAGGCUAAAGCAAGGAAACGGAAAUAUCCUGAAGCCUCUCCUACUGCCCCCUCUAAGAAGAAGAGGAAGACCAAGAGAGAUCGGGCUGCUCCCACAGAGCCCUUGAUAGUUGAACCCCUUUCUGUGGUCUAUCCUGAAGCAGAACGACAACUGACAGUUCAUGAGCCUGCUUCCACAGAGGCUCCUGUAGAUGAAGACGUUCCAGCAGCCGACCCCAUCGCUGCUAAAGACAUUGGUCAUCAUGACAAUGUAGAAAAUGAUGCAGUCCUUCCUCAGCAAGACCACAGCGAACUCAUCAGCAUUAGUCGUCCAUUGACGCCAAUUGCCCAGGAUGCUUCAUGGGCAGAUCGCCCCCAAAAGGAAGAAGAAUCUGAGGCCCAGCCCACUCCGACUCCACAGGCGUCGUCUGUGUUACGCAGGCUUCGCAAAGGUCCAAGGCCUCAAAUCUCUGAAGACAUUCCGGCUGCAUCAGCCGCAGAAGAAGAAGUACCACAAGAUCCCACUCCCCUGUUCCACCAAGAAGCAGUUCUCCAGGAGAACGUGCCUGUGUCUGACCCUCCAGCUCGUCAAGUGGAGGAUGCAAAUCGUGAGGCUGCCACUACCAACCAUGAAGCUAAUGUGGAGCCCUCCCCACAAAAAGCAUCAGAAGACAGUGAAGCCACUGAUCCUGAUACUUCUGUUCCUGAGUCUUCUGCCGGUCCCCAAUUUGAUUACCAUGUUGAGCACAGCCCUCAGGUACAGAAGCCGAUCCCAAGACUGCCAAGGUUCCCAGGUCCUGCAUCAGCACCUGGCUCCUUCAACGUCAAUAGCUUCAAGGCAGACAAUACCUUCUUCAAUAGCUCCAAGAACCCCUACUCAAGGGAAAGGAUUUCAUCAGAUCGGUUCUGGAUAUCCUCAGCGAAGCUACUACUCAUGCAUCAUGUACAACCAAGGUCGCAUCUUCCCGCACAAGCGCCUUGAUGUUGAAGCUAUUGCUGGUCUGCCCUGUCUAGAAGAAGCGUUGGAUUGCUUCAAGCAAGUGGGUCUGCUGCAGUUUGUUACUGAUGAAGAGCAUUGGAAUGAAGAGCUACUGCUACAAUUCUAUGCCACACUACACAUCAAAGGAUACAACAGAGAUCCGAAGACUUGGGUUCUGGAGUGGAUGACUGGCAAUGUUCAUCAUGAAGCCAAUGCAUUUGAUAUCAUUGAGCUCACUGGCUUGCCCACUCCUGGCGAUCUCUUCGAGCAAGGCUGUCAGCUGCAUGCUGAAGCUAUUGAGAGCAUCUUUCAGCGACCAGAACCUGAUAUGAGUCAAAUGCUCUCCAUGAUGAAGCCAUUGCCCCAAGAUGCUCCUUAUCCCAUAGAGUUCUUUGUUAAAGACCUUGAGUACCUACCUAGAACCAUCUAUCACAUCAUCAGGCGAACUCUCUGGCCUGUCAAAGGGCACUCUCCAAAUGCCAAGAUUGAGGGUGCAAUGAAGACUCUGAUAUUCUGUAUUCUACAUGGCAAAUUCUUCAAUGCACAGGACUUCUUCAUCCGCCAACUUGCUGCAUCAGGCUCAGAUCUGUUUGGUUUGAAAUUCUAUGCCCCUUGGGUAAUGAGGCUGAUCAAACUUCACUCUGCUAUCUUGUAUCAACCCUCAGCCCGCAACCAUCGGAUCUUCUUGCCUGAUGUGGAUACCUCUGCUGAAGCCAUCUAUCCUGAGCCAGCCAAGCAACCUCUGAGUCUUCAGAACACAGAACACCAGAGCUUCACUCAAAACAUUGAAGGAAUUGAAGAAAUCUCUCGGGUGUAUCUGUUGGCUGGCACUACACGUGCACCAUGCCCUGCUUCCACUGAAGCCACUGACAGCACCACUGCUCCAAGACCCAAGAAGCGCGCUCGUGUUCUCAAUGACCGAGAGCUUCUUGUGGACCUUCAUCAAAAACAGGAUAGGCAUCAUGACUGGCUGAAGCGUCAGAUGAAAAGCCUCUUGGUGGAUGUAAAUCGCAUUCGGAACCUUGCCACCAAGAAUGCAUUCGUUGCACAUGAAACCUGUCGCCGCACAUGGAAAGGACUCACGGUGAUGUGUUCUGAAGCUGAUCUUCAAGAGGAUGGCUUCACAGAGCGAUUCAAGUUUGACUCCACACCUCCUAGAAGAGCUGUGCUGCGAGGCACGCCAUCCCUUGAAGACUCGGAGUUUUCUUCCUCUGCUGCCACAGUGACUGCCAGAAUUAUAGAGGAUGAAGACGAUGCUACAUCACCGCCACCUCCUUCAGCACGCGUCGACACUGCACCAAGCUCUUCAGCACCGCCAAACACCACCGACGACCCUGCCGCUCAUGGGAACGAGUAGAAACUCUAUGUCUUCGAACCUUUUUGGUCCUCACUGACAAAAGGGGGAGAAGCAUAUGAGGUUGAUAGUCUUCAAGCGGGUCAUUAUGGGCAGGUGCUUUAUAUUUUGCUUCGUGCUUACAACUCUCGUCUUGCUACAUUUGGUUCUUUGAGUUGUAACACUUAAACUUGAUGGUCGUCUGCUACUUAUUUACCACCUUGUUUGCAAAGAUAAAUUCCGCAUGUGCGACGAUAAAUUCCGCACUUAGAUCAUUAUGCAGACGUCCAUUUUCCAUUAUGCAUGUCAUUAUCUUCAUAUACUUUUACAUGCAUAGUGGAUUGUCAUCAUAAGUUGAAGUGGAUCUCCACAAGUACAACCUGCCAUGUGCAUUUGCAUUCCAAAAGCAAAUUACUUAUAUGCACAUUUUCAGGGGGAGCCCUUGCAACUUAUGAAGACAAUUCCUUAUCCUUUAAAAUUUCACAGACUAUAUUCCCCAUUGAAAACUUCAACUAGUUUGUCAUCAAAUACCAAAAAGGGGGAGAUUGUAAGUGCAUCUAGUGCCACCCCUAGUUGGUUUUGGAGUAUUGACGACAAACCUAGUUGAGGGACUAAUGUGUUUGUGAGAAUUGCAGGAUAACACAGGUAGAAGUCCCUCAUUGAUUCGGUUUUAUUACCAGAGAUGACCCCUAAAAAUGUACGAAGACAUUGAAGUCAAUGGUGGUAUAUGAAGAUAUUCAUUUUGAAGACUAUGACAAGAGAAGACACUGCAUGAAGCCUAUGGAGCUCGAAGACUUAGAUCUUUCGUAGUUCUCUUUCAUUUGUGUUGAGUCAUAGGAACCACCGUACUGUUAAGUGGGGUCCAAGAGAACCAGUCAGAACGACUGAAGUGAUGCCUAAACAAAAAACCUAUGUCUUCGAGUGAAGAC